RNAcentral lists this ribosomal RNA (450 nucleotides) under uncultured bacterium. RNAcentral's name for it is "bacterial SSU rRNA". It matches the Rfam family "Bacterial small subunit ribosomal RNA", at positions 354 to 796 of the family's 1533-position model. The record is from RNAcentral.
GUGGGGAAUAUUGGACAAUGGGCGAAAGCCUGAUCCAGCCAUGCCGCGUGUGUGAAGAAGGUCUUCGGAUUGUAAAGCACUUUAAGUUGGGAGGAAGGGUAGUAACCUAAUACGUUGCUACUUUGACGUUACCGACAGAAUAAGCACCGGCUAACUUCGUGCCAGCAGCCGCGGUAAUACGAAGGGUGCAAGCGUUAAUCGGAAUUACUGGGCGUAAAGCGCGCGUAGGUGGUUUUGUAAGUUGGAGGUGAAAUCCCCGGGCUCAACCUGGGAACUGCCUCCAAAACUGCAUGACUAGAGUACGGUAGAGGGUAGUGGAAUUUCCUGUGUAGCGGUGAAAUGCGUAGAUAUAGGAAGGAACACCAGUGGCGAAGGCGACUACCUGGACUGAUACUGACACUGAGGUGCGAAAGCGUGGGGAGCAAACAGGAUUAGAUACCCCAGUAGUCC